UCUCAGAGUGUCUGAAUUGCAAAGACAUCAGGGAAUUUAGCACAAAUUAUUAUUUAUUCAAUUUCUUUUGACAAAAGAAUGCUUUUCAGAGGGUGGCAACAAGAGCAAUGUUGACUGCUGCUUGGGACGGCAAAUGGACCAGAGUAAAACUGCUUGCUUUGCCUGAUGCUGCUCUGGAAAAAGGAGCACAUCCAAAGGAACUCAGAUAGGAAGGCUAAGUUCAAGAGGCCCAUGGUGAGCUCAAUCUGUGCAGCAUCUGCUUUCUGUGAAAGAUGUGGCUCCAGCUCCUGUGCCAGGACUGAAGGGUGCCCAGACACAAGUGGAGAAGGGUGCCCACUUGGAGAAAACUUCAGCAGCAGCAGGGAGAGGAA
Molecule: long non-coding RNA, 371 nt
Filed under: Coturnix japonica (Japanese quail)
Lineage: Eukaryota; Metazoa; Chordata; Aves; Galliformes; Phasianidae
Description: lncRNA (ENSCJPG00005017638.1)
Source: RNAcentral